CCGAAGGUGACCGACCCGCAAGGGAGCGUGCACAGGUGCUGCAUGGCUGUCGUCAGCUCGUGCCGUGAGGUGUUGGGUUAAGUCCCGCAACGAGCGCAACCCUCGCUGCCAGUUACCAUGUCUGGCGGGACCGCCGGGUUUAACCCGGAGGAAGGUGGGGAUGACGUCAAGUCAGCACGGCCCUUACGUCUGGGGCUACACACACGCUACAAUGGCCGGUACAAUGGGCUGCCAAGGGGCGACCCGGAGCGAAUCCCAUCAAAGCCGGUCUCAGUUGGGAUCGGGGGCUGCAACUCGCCCCCGUGAACGCGGAGUUGCUAGUAACCGCAGGUCAGCACACUGCGGUGAAUACGUUCCCGGGCCUUGUACACACCGCCCGUCACGUCAUGAAAGUUGGAAACGCCUGAAGCCGGUGGCCUAACCGCAAGGAGGGAGCCGUCGAGGGCGGAGCCAGCGAUUGGGACGAAGUCGUAACAAGGUAACCGU
This 486-nucleotide ribosomal RNA is filed under the name uncultured Chloroflexota bacterium. RNAcentral's name for it is "bacterial SSU rRNA". It matches the Rfam family "Bacterial small subunit ribosomal RNA", at positions 1001 to 1503 of the family's 1533-position model. The record is from RNAcentral. Lineage: Bacteria; Bacillati; Chloroflexota.